RNAcentral lists this transfer RNA (87 nucleotides) under Chloroflexota bacterium. RNAcentral's name for it is "Chloroflexi bacterium tRNA-Leu". It matches the Rfam family "tRNA". Rfam says of the family: Transfer RNA (tRNA) molecules are approximately 80 nucleotides in length. Their secondary structure includes four short double-helical elements and three loops (D, anti-codon, and T loops). The record is from RNAcentral. Lineage: Bacteria; Bacillati; Chloroflexota.
GCCGGGGUGGCGGAAUGGCAGACGCGGCGGACUUAAAAUCCGCUGUCCAUUAUGGGCGUGCGGGUUCGAGUCCCGCCCUCGGCACCA